UUUAAGUGCAACUAUAAGUUUCCGUGCCCAACUUUGAUCGUCCGUUUUAUUUGAAAUUUUUUUAUAAUUAGUAUUUUUGUUGUUAUGAGAUGAUAAAACAUAAAUAGUACUUUACUCGUGACUUAUGUUUUUAAAUUUUUUCAAAAAUUUUUCAAAUAAGGCGGAUGGUCAAAGUUGGGCGCGAAAAAAUAUGGCUGCACUUAAA
Molecule: non-coding RNA, 205 nt
Organism: Oryza barthii
Lineage: Eukaryota; Viridiplantae; Streptophyta; Magnoliopsida; Poales; Poaceae
Source: Rfam